This 121-nucleotide transfer RNA is filed under the name Vibrio parahaemolyticus. RNAcentral's name for it is "tRNA-OTHER". The record is from RNAcentral. Lineage: Bacteria; Pseudomonadati; Pseudomonadota; Gammaproteobacteria; Vibrionales; Vibrionaceae.
UUAGAAGAGGUACAAAAAACUGGUACAAAUUCUUAAAACAGUGUAUUGUUAAGUUGUUGAUUUAAAUUGUUUUAAACAUGGUAGCUUGCAAUCGAGAGUUCGAAUCUCUCACUCACCGCCA